ACGUGACCUGCCUGACUCCCGCCUCUUCUAUGGUUUAGCCUGGUGUCCAGCGUAUUGGACAAGUAUCUGGUGACACCCUGAGUUGUCCUCUCGCAGAUAUCUUCCUGUAUUUGGGUAACAAGUUCCUCAUCUUUGCCGUCUGUGGGCAGGGCAGCUUCUGUCUUCCUCCCAGGGUUGUUCCGCACAGAGUGGGUGGCAUAGCUGGGCCCGUUCCCGUGCACACGCCUUGGGGAAUAUCGAGUAGAAAUCACAACACAACGCUCUGUUGCAGGCAGAGGAGCUAUAUUUGUACUGAGGAGAUGUGCUAACCUCCGCGCUGGAGGGAUGAGGCAGUGGAUGUCAAGGACUCAGCCAACACUUCUUCUAACAGCAGUGAGCCGCAGUGUUUUCUUAUUCCUGUUUGCACUGAACAGCCCGGCCUCCUGCAUUUUCCUACCAGGGAUUAUUGCCAGGCAGGUAGGUGUGGGAAGGGCCUGGCUGGAAGCUACUGGAAGACAGGUUGCUUCUCUUCUAUCUCGUUUUAGAAAUCGUGCUGGUCUUGGCUACUGAUAAGAGAGAAGGGAUGCCUUGGAGGGAAGAAAAGAAAGAAAGAAAGAAAGAGAGAGAGAGAGAGAGAGAGAGAAAGAAAAGACAAGACAGAAAGAAAGAGAAAGGCAGGCAGGCAGGCAGGAAGGAAGGAAGAAAGGAAGGAAGGGAGAUGGAAAGACCAGAAAGAGAGUGGGUCUCCAGGUUGAAGAGUAAGGAAGAAACACCAUUUUGAAUGUGUUGCCUCCACAUACCAUUAAGUACAAAACGAGCCAUUGAGAGAUAUCACAUAAAAUGUCACAGGAUGAAAAGAAAGUAGACAACUGCAGUAACGUUAGCAUAAAAGGGAUGACUAAAGUCUGCUUUCUUCUUCUAGAGGAGAUCAUCAAAAGACAUGGCCAGUUUCCACCACAGAGCCAGGGCAAGCCAGAGACACCAGAAAGGAGGUGAAGCACAGGCCUGAACUAGGUCUGAUGGAAUGCUUACCUCAGAAGUAACCACCCAGGGUUCCUUUAUCCAACUGGUGCAGCUGGCUGAUUCAGUCUUCUCCCUCAAGAAACCGACCUACUGAAGAUAGCAGGGAAGCAUUGCAAGGAAA
Molecule: long non-coding RNA, 1123 nt
Filed under: Rattus norvegicus (Norway rat)
Lineage: Eukaryota; Metazoa; Chordata; Mammalia; Rodentia; Muridae
Description: long non-coding RNA NONRATT033580
Source: RNAcentral